Long non-coding RNA from Bolinopsis microptera, 561 nucleotides. RefSeq lists it as uncharacterized. The record is from RefSeq and is a predicted model, not a curated record. The transcript has 3 exons. NCBI's taxonomy places the organism in Eukaryota, Metazoa, Ctenophora, Tentaculata, Lobata, Bolinopsidae.
UUAUUUCAGACCCUUACUCAGUAGGAACGAACCUUUCAACUGACAAAACAAAAUGUGAACCCUUUGUAAACCUUUUUAGGCAGCUGUGAAUAGUAAGUACAAGAAGUGAAAAAUAUUCUUCUCGUUUAAAUUUUUCUACAAACUGUUCAAUAAUUAUUAUUUCAUGAAAUGUGAUCAUUUCUACUUUUACGUUCCAAACACGAACUGUGGUGUUUACUAAAGACUAUUAUAUAUAUAAUACCAGAUUUUUGUCACUCGACCAUUUCAGAGUCCAGGAACGAGCCUCAUGAUAUUGAAACAAAGAUCACGAGAAAAGACACAGACCUCCGCCACUACCCUUACUCAGUAGGAACGAACCUUUCAACUGAAAAAACAAAAUGUGAACCCUUUGUAAACCUUUUUAGGCAGCUGUGAAUAAAUCCAGCAACGAGCCUCAUGAUAUUGAAACGAAGAUCACGAGAAAAGACACAGACCUCGGCCACUGUGAGAUACUGCUGUAACCAGACAUUUCAAGCUAUCUUAAUGAACAGUUUGACUAGUAAUAGUAUCAACCUACCACUG